GACGAACGCUGGCGGCGUGCUUAACACAUGCAGGUCGAACGGAAAGGCCCUGCUUUUGUGGGGUGCUCGAGUGGCGAACGGGUGAGUAACACGUGAGUAACCUGCCCUUGACUUUGGGAUAACUUCAGGAAACUGGGGCUAAUACCGGAUAGGAGCUCCUGCUGCAUGGUGGGGGUUGGAAAGUUUCGGCGGUUGGGGAUGGACUCGCGGCUGAUCAGCUUGUUGGUGGGGUAGUGGCUUACCAAGGCUUUGACGGGUAGCCGGCCUGAGAGGGUGACCGGCCACAUUGGGACUGAGAUACGGCCCAGACUCCUACGGGAGGCAGCAGUGGGGAAUAUUGCACAAUGGGCGGAAGCCUGAUGCAGCAACGCCGCGUGCGGGAUGACGGCCUUCGGGUUGUAAACCGCUUUCGCCUGUGACGAAGCGUGAGUGACGGUAAUGGGUAAAGAAGCACCGGCUAACUACGUG
RNAcentral lists this ribosomal RNA (468 nucleotides) under uncultured bacterium. RNAcentral describes it as "partial 16S ribosomal RNA". It matches the Rfam family "Bacterial small subunit ribosomal RNA", at positions 28 to 507 of the family's 1533-position model. The record is from RNAcentral.